This 3119-nucleotide long non-coding RNA is filed under the name Solanum tuberosum (potato). RNAcentral's name for it is "long non-coding RNA (STUB_LNC006985)". Lineage: Eukaryota; Viridiplantae; Streptophyta; Magnoliopsida; Solanales; Solanaceae. The record is from RNAcentral.
AAAAUAAAUCCGAUCUUGGAAGAAAAAAAUGCAUCAAACAUUUUUAUUUAGAACCAGCGAGCAGUCGAAUGAGACAAUACAGUCAUACAAGGGUAUGGCAACACUCAAUUUUCAAACUUUGCAAUGUUAAGUUUAUUUUAAUUCUCCGAUAAAAAAAAAGUUCAUAUGUCAAAUAAAACUUAUAAUACUAAGCCAGGCUAACUCGUUCAUUGCCCAGCCUUAAAAGUGGCACAUAAUGGACUAAUAAAGAGCCUACAAGUGACAUAAUUACCGAGAAGCUUAACACCACAAGAUUCAAAAGUCUUCUUUACUUUAAACUUCGUGUCAAGUCAAAACCAGGCAAACAAAUUGAAACGGAGGGAGCAUUAUAUUAAUUUGAAUAGUGAAUCUACUGAACAUGAGCAGAUGGGAAUUCCAAGGUCAACAGAGGCAACGUAUGACAAUUUGUUGGAGCAUUAUGUGGCACAAGCUGCUCAUAAAAUAACCUUUUUGCUGAUGAAAAUAGUACAAAAGAUGCACAUGCUGAGUCUCCUAUAAAUUGGUAUAAGUCUUCAUUAGAAUGAUCAGUAAUUUAAAAACAAUACUUAAUUCAAUACACCUAAAAGUGCAAAGAACAAAGUAGAAACAAAUAAUCAAGGAAGAGAACUCCUAGGAGAAAACACUUAUUUUGAGGGAAUCACAAGGGAACUACAAUAACAAGAACAGAUAACAAAUUUCUACCUAGACUAUUCCCUCCAUAUCAUAGUAAGGCUAGUGACUCCAUGAGAUUGUAUUCUAUAUAAACCCUUUGCAAAAAUAUGAAAAAAUGUUCAAAAUAACCACGUCGACAUCACAUGCACACACAUAGACAGUGAAAAACUCACCUCACUAUCCAAACACCUUUAGAAAGAAUAGAAUGGCCACUGGAGCAGCUGCAAUGAUGCUUCAGUGUGUCUUUGACGGAAGCUUGUCCAUGUCAGAUAUGGAUAUCGAGAGAUGACCUUGCCAUAAAAACUGCAGUUGUGCAUUGCACAAACAGAAGGGCCGGGGAUAUAUCACAGCCAAGCACUUGUGUCCAUAGUAGGAAUAUAUCAUUCCCCAAAAGGCAAAUCUGGAAAGAUAUGAUUUUGUCAAUAGAAACUCCCAAAUUCACUUCUCCAUCUUCAUCGUCUUGAGAUAAUUAAUCAGUUGGGAGUGUACAGCAUACAGCUCCAAUGUUAGCUAGUAGUUGAUAGAUUUUCCUUUGUACAUUCUGGUAAGUACAUGUAUACUUCAGUAUCCGCUUCAUAGGUGAUGCAAAUUUACAAAAGAAAGAAAUGCAACUUGUUUUCUUUCUUUCCAGGAUUCAAAAGAUUUUAACUUUAGCGAACACUGAGAAUGCAGCAUUUGAAUUCACAUUGUACACGUUCGUUAGUAGAAUUAGUUUUUGUUCACUAACAGAGUUUGUACACUGAUUCUAAACUUACCAUCACUUCAUCUUUCACAUUCUUUUCUUCUGUCCUGUUAGGCUCCCAUAGUCCCCGAAAUUAGUCCACUGGUUUGUUAUUUACACUUCUCUCAUCCUCAUUGUUUAACAAAUUCUGUUCCUCGUAGUCUAUUAAAUUUCGUUAUUUCACUAAGACAAAUGGUUUGUUCAUAGUUCAUUCUGCGUCAUCAGUAAAGUCAAAGGGAAUAAUGUCGGAAUGGCCUACUUCUAUGUCUUUUCUGAACUUACAUUGCCAUUCACAAUAUACAAGGAAAUACUUUGUAAGCCUUUUCUAAAUCAUCUGUCACUUUCACCAGAUCUGUUUACUACUCAUCCAAAUGGAUUUGUAACGUGUUUUCAACUGCUCUUUAAAUAUAUGCAAGGGUUAAUACCAAAAGCAUCCAAGAUAGAGAAAUCAAAAAAGCAACUCAGUGCACUAAGCUUCUACUGAGUAGGGUCACAGUCUUACCUUGCAUUUCUGCAAAGAGGUUAUCUCCACAGCUCGAACCCAUGACCUCACAUAGCAGUAACUUUACCAAUUACGCCAAGCUCCCCUUCUCAAGAUGGAAAAGCUAUGUCAAUAUUUGCACAAAAGUCUUAUCAUUCAGGGUCUACAGCCAUCAAUAAUGCAGUUGAACUUGUAUGGAAACCCCACCACUUGAAGGGCCAGAGAAGGUUUGUAAUUUUGGUAUAUUUUGUAUAUCUUUAGUUUAAGACCGCAAGAUUCAAAAGUCUUCUUUAAUUUCUUGAAUUUCGUGCCAAAUCAAAACCAGACAAACAAAUUGAAACGGAGGGAGUAUUACCUUAAUUUGAAAAGUGAAUCUACAGAAAUUGAGUAGAGGGAAUUCCAAGGUCAACACCAGCUCCACUUGCUUAUGAAAACAGUACAAAAGAAUCUGCACUUGCUGAGAUUCCUAUAAAUUUGUAUCAAGCUUGAUUAUAAUAAUCAGUAAUUUUGGAAUACUGAUAUACACAAUUGUUUAGCCUAUGCUUACUUUAAUCUUUUCAUUUAUCUUUCUUUUUUCGAGGGUAACUAACACAUCGAAGUACUAAGAACAAAAGCAUAUUAGAGAAGUUCCCAAAUGAAAAACAAUACUCAAUUCAAGACACCUACAAGUACAAAGUACAAAGUAGAAACCCGUAAUCAAGGAAGAGAACUCCUAGUAGAAUACACUUAUUUUGAGGAAAUCACAAGAGAACUACAAUAACAAGAACAUAUUAGUACUUCCAAAUUCAAGAUAUGAUUUUGUCAAUAGAAGCUUCCAAAUUCACAUCUUCAUUGUCUCGAGAUAACUAAUCAGUCAGGACUCAGGAGUGUAGUACAGCAUACAGCUCCAAUGUUAGCAAGUAGUUGAUAGAUUUUCCUUUGUACAUUCUGGUAAUACUUCAGUAUCCACUUCAUAGGUGUUGUAAAUUUACAAAAGAAAAAGGAAAUGCAACAAUUCUUACUCUUCAUGAUUUCUAUGAGCAAAUGCUCCUUAUUUUCUUACUUUACGUAAACACUGUGAAUACAGCAUUUGAAUUCUGAAAUUGAUCACAUUGUACACGUUCGUUAAGUAGAAUUAGUUUUAGUUCACGAACAGAGUUUGUACGCUGAUUCUAGACUUUUAUUUUCCCUUUGUAUCUGUUAAUAGGUAUAACUUGCUAUUUCCACUUCUCAUCCUCAUAGUCUAUC